This is a non-coding RNA of Schistosoma mansoni, 45 nucleotides long. The record is from Rfam. NCBI's taxonomy places the organism in Eukaryota, Metazoa, Platyhelminthes, Trematoda, Strigeidida, Schistosomatidae.
AUCCAGCUGACGAGUCCGAAAUAGGUCGAAACGCACGUCCUGGAU